GUUCAGUUGUAUCAGGACAAUUAUAACAGGUUGCAUCGGGGGGUGGAGAUUAAAGACAGUAUAUUAAGCUUGCAUUACUUAUGUUAGGUUACUUCUCAGUAGUCACUUUUCUGGCAUUAGGUUUGGUAGCAAAAAAACUUAAAAAGAUGUUUCAGUUUAUUAUAUUUAUUGGAUUGGCUUUACUGAUUGGUAGAUCAAUACCAACAGCUGCAGAAACAUCUAUCGCUCCAUCAACAAGAACAACAGCCCCUGAACUAACAUGUAAAAUAGCUACAGCAGCAUCUAUAGUUCGAUUAACAAAAAAUCCUGCACCAACAUGUAUAUCAGCUACAGCAACAUCUACAGCUCGAUCAUCAACCACAACCCCUGCCCCACAGUCUACAUCUCGCUCAGCAGUCACUGAACCAACAUCUACAACUCAAUCAAGACCACCUGCACCAACUUUAAGUUCAACUGUGCUAACAUCAACCACUCUGUCAUCAACUGCAUCAACAUCGAUAUCAGCUGCAGUAACAUCUACUUCUCAAAAGACAGCUCAACUUACAUAUACAACUCAACCAGCUUCUGUCCCACAAAAUAUGACAGCAUUAGCUUCUGCAACUUUCAAAUUGAGAUGCUUUGCUGAACUGAGCAAUGAUGAAAUCAUUACAUAUAUUGAAAAGUUUGUCAAGCACUUUCAAUCAAGCAUUAGUGGGACCAUCAAGAUUACUGUGAGGAAAUCAAGAAAACUGUUGGCAUAAGGAUCUGAUGGAAAACUUGUGACUUUCCUCUGUAUACUUGCAGUUUUACUGUUGUAAUUAAACAAUACUAUACAUUGAACACAUA
Molecule: long non-coding RNA, 825 nt
Organism: Cyprinus carpio (common carp)
Lineage: Eukaryota; Metazoa; Chordata; Actinopteri; Cypriniformes; Cyprinidae
Source: RefSeq, a predicted model, not a curated record